Molecule: long non-coding RNA, 1109 nt
Organism: Nothobranchius furzeri (turquoise killifish)
Lineage: Eukaryota; Metazoa; Chordata; Actinopteri; Cyprinodontiformes; Nothobranchiidae
Source: RefSeq, a predicted model, not a curated record
GUCUCAACUGCAUUUGAAUGCUGAGCCCAACAUAUUCAGGUCAGCUGCCACGGUGGCUGGUAUCCACCUUCAGAGGGCUGGAGGUGCAAAGCUGAUGUUUGUUUAAGUGAGUCAACAACACGAUUUCUACUGGAGGCACCACGAGAUGCUACCCAAUGGCUAAUGAUGGGGGUUUACGGAGAAAGAAGUUCUGGCUGUAACUCUGAAGAGACAUCCUAAAACCAGCCAGAGGGGGUCGAUGUCUCUAGGGAACGCUGCAAUGAAGACUGGAUCUUGACUGAGAAUGCUGCAAAAAGCUAUUAAACACAAUAGGCCUUCUCUCCUGGCUGCCAGUCCAUAUCCCACUUCCAGCUAGCCUCGGAGCCGAGGCCCUGAUACACAACAGACACAACUGGUUCUCACUAGGAAGAAACACCUCAUCUCACAAGGGACUUCUGAAGAUGUUUGGAUCAAAAUAAUCCAAAGGUUCUUAACUGCUCAUGGAACGGCUCAAAUCAGACCCACAUUUGUCCCAAGAACAAAGAAACUCAUCGAAUGUCCUGCAGGGGUACAAAAUCAAUCACACGUUUCUGGAACUCACGUGCACGAGGACAGGAGAGUUAAUCGAAGGUUAUCCAGAGCAAACACGGAAAAUGGGUCAGGAGGAAGUGAAAGUCACACAUCAGCUGAGAGUGAAAAGUGGACCUGAUUACAACAGCAUGGAUCUUCUGUUUUUACUUGAAGACAUCAGAUCAGGGAGGGAACAGACCAAUGGAAACCCAGAUGCACCAACAAAGCACUAAUGAGACCAGUUACAUGCUCAAAUGACGUCUGUGUAAUUUUUUAUUCUCUUUAAUCAGUUCAACAAACCAACGUAAUUAUUUGAGUGUUUUUUUAAUUAAUGAGAUAUUUGUCUUUGUUUUCUAAUUUCGCCUGACUUCACAGCUGUUUUAACACCAGUAAAAUGUCUGAAAUUCAGAAAAUCAAGAACAUAAUCACUAUCAAGGUCACUAUUAUCAAUAAAGUACAGAUUCAGAUGCUAACUCAAGCACUCAUUGAUUUUGUCUGGUGAUUUAACACAAUUUAUCUUCUAAUAAAAGUGUGGUUGACUGAAAAAAUAUAUUAUUUCU